CUAACAAGGAUUCCCCUAGUAACGGCGAGUGAAGCGGGAAGAGCUCAAAUUUGAAAUCUGGCAGUCUUCGAUUGUCCGAGUUGUAAUCUAUAGAGGCGUUUUCCGUGCCGGACCGUGUCCAAGUCUCCUGGAAAGGAGUAUCAAAGAGGGUGAUAAUCCCGUACUUAACACGACCACCGGUGCUCUGUGAUACGUCUUCUACGAGUCGAGUUGUUUGGGAAUGCAGCUCAAAAUGGGUGGUGAAUUCCAUCUAAAGCUAAAUAUUGGCGAGAGACCGAUAGCGAACAAGUACCGUGAGGGAAAGAUGAAAAGCACUUUGGAAAGAGAGUUAAACAGUACGUGAAAUUGUUGAAAGGGAAACGAUUGAAGUCAGUCGUGUUCUUUGGAUUCAGCCAGUUCUGCUGGUCUACUUCCUUGGAACGGGUCAACAUCAGUUUUGUCCGGUGGAUAAAGGUAGUAGGAAUGUGACUUCUCCGGAAGUGUUAUAGCCUAUUAUCACAUACACUGGGUGAGACUGAGGACUGCAGCUCGCCUUUAUGGCCGGCCUUCGGGCACGUUCGAGCUUAGGAUGUUGACAUAAUGGCUUU
RNAcentral lists this ribosomal RNA (587 nucleotides) under Trichosporon asahii. RNAcentral describes it as "partial large subunit ribosomal RNA". It matches the Rfam family "Eukaryotic large subunit ribosomal RNA", at positions 65 to 641 of the family's 3401-position model. The record is from RNAcentral. Lineage: Eukaryota; Fungi; Basidiomycota; Tremellomycetes; Trichosporonales; Trichosporonaceae.